CCCACUUGGUUGCUGUUAUAAGCUCGGCAAGGUCAGGACCUUCGACAGUGCCAUGAAGAUGCCAGGUUAGGAUAGAAGUUGGAUAUGCUGACUAUAAAUACACUGCAUCUCUUCAGAAAUGGCAGAAGCCAGAUGGCAGCAGUGGAUUGAUGCAGAGUGGAACCAAUUAUCUUAAUGAGAAGCAAAGUUGAAGUUACGUUUGGAGUUCAUUAGCCCCAGAAAUAUGAGAUCUAUGUCAUUCAAGACAUAAGAUAUGAAGAUCCAUCAUAGGAUCCAUCACAGGCACAGCAAACUGGGAUGUGGGAGUUAACAGAUAAUGGAAGAAAAAAAUGAAAAGAAGAGGAAAGAAAAGAAAAGGAAAAAAUAAUGACCCAAUAUAGCAUUCUAUAGAUGGAAUUUAUCUAACUCUUAUUAAAUAGAGUGAUAGGUAUUAGAGUACUAUGAAUAGGGGAUAUUACCUUAUUUUUUGUUCUAAUCCACAGUCAUUCCAUAUGAGAAAUUACAUCCUCUGUGGGCCACUGUCAGUGCCUGUUGUGAAUUUCCCACUAUGAAUGGGCUCAAGCAUGUCAGUAAUAUUCUGCUCUAAUAUAUAAGGUAUGGCCUAAGCAAAGGAGCAGCAAAGAUUGAGCAUGACUGUCCUCACCAUUACCCUCCCCUUGAGAGUAGAUGAGACAGGAUAAUGGCCUAAAACACAAAUGUGUUCACAAUUAUUUUAAAUACGCUAUGUAGUAUUUUUAAAGACUGUAAAACAGGUAACUUUUCCUGAGAGACUUUGUAUGAUUCCUUUGGUUGGCAGGACUAUUCAGAUCUAGUCUUACAGGAGAUGAAAUGGUAUUUCCUUGAGUAUUUUUGUUGUUAGUAGUG
This is a non-coding RNA of Myodes glareolus (Bank vole), 864 nucleotides long. NCBI's taxonomy places the organism in Eukaryota, Metazoa, Chordata, Mammalia, Rodentia, Cricetidae. The record is from RefSeq and is a predicted model, not a curated record.